UAGGGAAUCUUCCACAAUGGACGAAAGUCUGACGGAGCAACGCCGCGUGAGCGAUGAAGGCCUUCGGGUCGUAAAGCUCUGUUGUUAGGGAAGAACAAGUAUCGGAGUAACUGCCGGUACCUUGACGGUACCUAACCAGAAAGCCACGGCUAACUACGUG
Molecule: ribosomal RNA, 160 nt
Filed under: uncultured bacterium
Lineage: Bacteria
Description: partial 16S rRNA
Rfam family: Bacterial small subunit ribosomal RNA
Source: RNAcentral